GAUGAACGCUGGCGGCGUGCCUAAUACAUGCAAGUCGAGCGAACAGAUGAGGAGCUUGCUCCUCUGACGUUAGCGACGGACGGGUGAGUAACACGUGGAUAACCUACCUUUAAGACUGGGAUAACUUCGGGAAACCGGAGCUAAUACCGGAUAAUAUAUUGAACCGCAUUGUUCAAUAUGGAAAGACGGUUUUGCUGUCACUUAUAGAUGGAUCCGCGCCGGAUUAGCUAGUUGGUAAGGAAACGGCUUACCAAGGCAACGAUGCGUAGCCGACCUGAGAGGGUGAUCGGCCACACUGGAACUGAGACACGGUCCAGACUCCUACGGGAGGCAGCAGUAGGGAAUCUUCCGCAAUGGGCGAAAGCCUGACGGAGCAACGCCGCGUGAGUGAUGAAGGUCUUCGGAUCGUAAAACUCUGUUAUUAGGGAAGAACAAAUGUGUAAGUAACUAUGCACGUCUUGACGGUACCUAAUCAGAAAGCCACGGCUAACUACGUG
This 497-nucleotide ribosomal RNA is filed under the name uncultured bacterium. RNAcentral describes it as "partial 16S ribosomal RNA". It matches the Rfam family "Bacterial small subunit ribosomal RNA", at positions 28 to 507 of the family's 1533-position model. The record is from RNAcentral.